Molecule: ribosomal RNA, 496 nt
Filed under: uncultured bacterium
Lineage: Bacteria
Description: partial 16S ribosomal RNA
Rfam family: Bacterial small subunit ribosomal RNA
Source: RNAcentral
AUUGAACGCUGGCGGAAUGCUUUACACAUGCAAGUCGAACGGUAGAGGGGGCAACCCCUCGAGAGUGGCGAACGGGUGAGUAAUAUAUCGGAACGUGCCCAGUCGUGGGGGAUAACGUAGCGAAAGUUACGCUAAUUCCGCAUACGAUCCAAGGAUGAAAGCGGGGGAGCGCAAGACCUCGCGCGAUUGGAGCAGCCGAUAUCAGAUUAGGUAGUUGGUGGGGUAAAGGCUCACCAAGCCAACGAUCUGUAGCUGGUCUGAGAGGACGACCAGCCACACUGGAACUGAGACACGGUCCAGACUCCUACGGGAGGCAGCAGUGGGGAAUUUUGGACAAUGGACGCAAGUCUGAUCCAGCCAUUCCGCGUGCAGGAUGAAGGCCCUCGGGUUGUAAACUGCUUUUGUACGGAACGAAAAGGUCUCUCUUAAUACGGGGGGCUCAUGACGGUACCGUAAGAAUAAGCACCGGCUAACUACGUGCCAGCAGCCGCCGUAA